RNAcentral lists this ribosomal RNA (490 nucleotides) under uncultured bacterium. Its description in RNAcentral is "partial 16S ribosomal RNA". It matches the Rfam family "Bacterial small subunit ribosomal RNA", at positions 30 to 507 of the family's 1533-position model. The record is from RNAcentral.
AUUGAACGCUGGCGGCAGGCCUAACACAUGCAAGUCGAACGGUAACAGUGAUCAGCUUGCUGAUUCGCUGACGAGUGGCGGACGGGUGAGUAAUGUCUGGGAAACUGCCUGAUGGAGGGGGAUAACUACUGGAAACGGUAGCUAAUACCGCAUAACGUCGCACGACCAAAGAGGGGGACCUUCGGGCCUCUUGCCAUCGGAUGUGCCCAGAUGGGAUUAGCUAGUAGGUGGGGUAACGGCUCACCUAGGCGACGAUCCCUAGCUGGUCUGAGAGGGUGACCAGCCACACUGGAACUGAGACACGGUCCAGACUCCUACGGGAGGCAGCAGUGGGGAAUAUUGCACAAUGGGCGCAAGCCUGAUGCAGCCAUGCCGCGUGUAUGAAGAAGGCCUUCGGGUUGUAAAGUACUUUCAGCGGGGAGGAAGGGAGUAAAGUUAAUACCUUUGCUCAUUGACGUUACCCGCAGAAGAAGCACCGGCUAACUCCGUG